Homo sapiens (human) is the source of this 2274-nucleotide long non-coding RNA. Ensembl annotates it as PCBP1 antisense RNA 1. Its record names the gene PCBP1-AS1. NCBI's taxonomy places the organism in Eukaryota, Metazoa, Chordata, Mammalia, Primates, Hominidae. The record is from Ensembl.
CCUCGUUUGUUCAGGGGCUGCCGGCCAGGGCUUCAGGACGUUUCUGCGGCUUUCCCCGCGCGGCCUGGGCUCCCGCGGCUGCUUUUCGGGCCCAUGGGCGCAGCCACUGCGCCAGGCUCAAGGGGGGCGGCCCCGUCAGGGCCCGCCAUCUUGGAAGGCCUUUUUUGCCGGUUCUUCCCGCUGAGGAAGUGUCGCUCAAGACGCUGGCCUAUGAGUUGUGAUUUCUGCCUUUUCCCCUUCCUCCUUGGGCUAAGCCAGACCAGAAAGGGCCCCGUGCGCAACGUGCUUCACAAUCUCUCAGGGAAAGCGGCUAACGUGGCGCUACUCCGCCUCCCCUGUUCCUUACCCUUGGGGCGGCCGCCAUGUUUCCUGAACACAAAAUGGCGACACGUGGUUAGCAUUCGUCGCCAACGAGAAAUUGGGGUCGGCCCGAAAGCUCUAGAAUGCACCCCUCUUCCUCCCCGGGGCCUUCCACCUCCGCGAGUUUUAUGACUUAAAAAAGCCCACAGGCUGGUCUGAAGGUCGGAGGCCUAAUUUUAACGCGUUUUCCUCCCUUUAAUUUGAAACGGGAACGCGAAUGACUGUAAAAUGUGGGCACAAUAUUUAAUCUCUCGCCUUUUUAAAGCUUAAUAGUGGAUAAUAGGGGGGCAGUAUCAAGGGAUAAUUUGGGUCCCCACAGUACCAAAGCAUUUAGAAACCUCUGUUUAAUUUAAGGAAUGAGAUAAGUUACUGCUUUUCUAGACUUCCUAGCAUGGGCUGUUGUGCUGGAGAGAACGAGAGCUACGAAGAGACUACAGUGCCUCUGACUUUUUCAUAGGACAGUUGGCCGAGGAAGACAAACAUAAAGAUGAAGUGCUUAAUUCAAGGUCACACAAUGUCGGGGAUGGACCUCCAGAUUUCCUUACUGACCUGCAUUAUCUUGUGGAUACCUGAGUGAAUUCCACACCACCCAUUUUAUAGAUGAAACCACUGAGACAUGGAGCAAUUGACUGAGUAGUCACUGCCCCACCCCUGCCUGGAGCCUCACACAUGACUCGCCUCCUCUCAGUGACCACAGGUUGGUUGAGGGGUUUAACAAGGCUAAGAAGGAAAACAAGCUCAGGGCUCCCACUGAUUGUACAUUAUGGUGAGACGUGGUCUUGUAACACAGUGGUUAAGAAUGUGACUUUGGAGCCAGCCUGCUAGGGGCUGAAUUCUGACUCAGCCAUUUACUAACUGUGUGACCUUAGGCUGGAGUGCAAUGGCAUGAUCUCGGCUCAUCACAACCUCUGCUUCCUGGGUUCAAGCGAUUCUCCUGCCUCAGCCUCCCGAGUACCUGGGACUACAGGCACUCGCCACCAUGCCCGGCUGAUUUUUGUAUUUUUAAUAGAGAUGGUUUCACUAUGUUGGCCAGGCUGGUCUCGAACUCCUGACCUUGUGAUCUGCCCACCUCAGCCUCGAAAAGUGCUGGGAUUACAGGCGUGAGCCACUGCGCCCAGCCUUGUAUUUUUUUUCAGUUUGGGUAGCUGUCCCUAAUUCAUUUGUUAAAGGAGAAGCAAGAGCAAGAACCUUUAAUCUGUUCUCCUCUUCCCUAAUUUGAAAGUAGCUUGUUAUUUUGAAUAUCACUUUCUCUGAAAUAGCACAUCUCCAUCUCAGAGAAUGGAUUUAAUGUUUGGAUACAGCCAAAAGUCAUUUCAUUACCAAACCAUGGGGUGAAUAUACCAUGUAAAGCAGUUUGGGAUCAGAACUCACAGUCUGAAUUGUAAGUGAUGAGACUGCUGUCUCUCUGCUACAGCUUCUUGGCUGGCUCUGAAGGCUCUUUGAAGGCAGAUCCUAACAAGGGGACUGCUUUGAAGGGCCAUUGUUCAUUUGGAAUGAUAAAGUCUAUGUUGUUCAAAAAACAAAUGCUUGUAGCAGGUAUUUUUUCACUCCAGACUGAGAAUAUUGGUGGGAUAUUGAUAAGGGGUACUGAAUGGUAAUAAACAUGUGCUCUAGCUCUGUGCUAGUCAGCUUAUUUCAGAACUCUAGUUUGAUUCAGUUUCUUGCCUCUGACUCAAAAUGGAGGGAGAGUGAUUUUUACAUAAGAGAACACACCCACAUAUCCUUUUGGCAGCAGCUACCUGCCAGAGAUGUUGAAGAAGAGUAGCCAACCUUUACACAGCAGAUAUUGUGUGCCAGUCAUAGUCCUAAGUAUAAUACCUUACAUGUAUAAACUUCUUAUAAGGUUGGUGCUCUGUACCGAAUUGAAUAGUAUCCCCCAAAAUUCAUGUUGUCCCAGAACCUAUGAAAGUGAUC